GUGGGGAAUUUUGGACAAUGGGCGCAAGCCUGAUCCAGCAAUGCCGCGUGCAGGAAGAAGGCCUUCGGGUUGUAAACUGCUUUUGUACGGAACGAAACGGCUCUGGUUAAUACCCGGGGCUAAUGACGGUACCGUAAGAAUAAGCACCGGCUAACUACGUGCCAGCAGCCGCGGUAAUACGUAGGGUGCAAGCGUUAAUCGGAAUUACUGGGCGUAAAGCGUGCGCAGGCGGUUGUGUAAGACAGGCGUGAAAUCCCCGGGCUCAACCUGGGAAUUGCGCUUGUGACUGCACAGCUGGAGUGCGGCAGAGGGGGAUGGAAUUCCGCGUGUAGCAGUGAAAUGCGUAGAUAUGCGGAGGAACACCGAUGGCGAAGGCAAUCCCCUGGGCCUGCACUGACGCUCAUGCACGAAAGCGUGGGGAGCAAACAGGAUUAGAUACCCUAGUAGUCC
RNAcentral lists this ribosomal RNA (450 nucleotides) under uncultured bacterium. Its description in RNAcentral is "bacterial SSU rRNA". It matches the Rfam family "Bacterial small subunit ribosomal RNA", at positions 354 to 796 of the family's 1533-position model. The record is from RNAcentral.